AUCUCCAAGAACAGAUUUAAAAAGUCUGUCCUGAAGUAGUAAUCCAGUAGUUUAACUCCCUUGAACUUGGAUUUGUUAACCAAAAUAACCAAUUAUUUUCGUUAUAUUUCUAUCCACCUUGAUGUUCUCCCAGUCCCAAGUUCUGGCCAAUGGCUAUAGCUUGUCAUCCGAUUACGGCAUAUGUAACUUGAUAAUCAAGCAGUUGUCUUUUUUCUUUUUGGAUAUUAUAUUUAGUUCCUCUGAUGCUACUUCACCAUGUAUAUUUGAAAGAAUCCCUUAUCCAUGAUGCUGAAGAAAU
Molecule: long non-coding RNA, 298 nt
Filed under: Manihot esculenta (cassava)
Lineage: Eukaryota; Viridiplantae; Streptophyta; Magnoliopsida; Malpighiales; Euphorbiaceae
Description: long non-coding RNA (MESC_LNC008633)
Source: RNAcentral